GUAAUGUAUAGUUAAUCUGCCCUAUGCUGGAGGACAACAGUUAGAAAUGACUGCUAAUACUCCAUACUCCUUCUUAACACAAGUUAAGUUGGGAAAGUUUUUUCGGCAUAGGAUGAGACUAUAUUGUAUCAGCUAGUUGGUGAGGUAAUGGCUCACCAAGGCUAUGACGCAUAACUGGUCUGAGAGGAUGAUCAGUCACACUGGAACUGAGACACGGUCCAGACUCCUACGGGAGGCAGCAGUAGGGAAUAUUGCUCAAUGGGCGAAAGCCUGAAGCAGCAACGCCGCGUGGAGGAUGACACUUUUCGGAGCGUAAACUCCUUUUCUUAGGGAAGAAAUUUGACGGUACCUAAGGAAUAAGCACCGGCUAACUCCGUGCCAGCAGCCGCGGUAAUACGGAGGGUGCAAGCGUUACUCGGAAUCACUGGGCGUAAAGGACGCGUAGGCGGAUUAUCAAGUCUUUUGUGAAAUCUAAUGGCUCAACCAUUAAACUGCUUGAGAAACUGAUAAUCUAGAGUGAGGGAGAGGCAGAUGGAAUUGGUGGUGUAGGGGUAAAAUCCGUAGAGAUCACCAGGAAUACCCAUUGCGAAGGCGAUCUGCUAGAACUCAACUGACGCUAAUGCGUGAAAGCGUGGGGAGCAAACAGGAUUAGAUACCCUGGUAGUCCACGCCCUAAACGAUGUAUACUAGUUGUUGCUGUGCUAGUCAUGGCAGUAAUGCACCUAACGGAUUAAGUAUACCGCCUGGGGAGUACGGUCGCAAGAUUAAAACUCAAAGGAAUAGACGGGGACCCGCACAAGCGGUGGAGCAUGUGGUUUAAUUCGAAGAUACGCGAAGAACCUUACCUGGGCUUGAUAUCCUAAGAACCUUGUAGAGAUACGAGGGUGCUAGCUUGCUAGAACUUAGUGACAGGUGCUGCACGGCUGUCGUCAGCUCGUGUCGUGAGAUGUUCGGUUAAGUCCGGCAACGAGCGCAACCCACGUAUUUAGUUGCUAACAGUUUGGCUGAGCACUCUAAAUAUACUGCCUUCGUAAGGAGGAGGAAGGUGUGGACGACGUCAAGUCAUUCAUGGCCC
RNAcentral lists this ribosomal RNA (1075 nucleotides) under Campylobacter lanienae. RNAcentral's name for it is "bacterial SSU rRNA". It matches the Rfam family "Bacterial small subunit ribosomal RNA", at positions 110 to 1201 of the family's 1533-position model. Lineage: Bacteria; Pseudomonadati; Campylobacterota; Epsilonproteobacteria; Campylobacterales; Campylobacteraceae. The record is from RNAcentral.